AUUGAACGCUGGCGGCAUGCCUUACACAUGCAAGUCGAACGGCAGCACGGGUGCUUGCACCUGGUGGCGAGUGGCGAACGGGUGAGUAAUACAUCGGAACAUGUCCUGUAGUGGGGGAUAGCCCGGCGAAAGCCGGAUUAAUACCGCAUACGAUCUACGGAUGAAAGCGGGGGACCUUCGGGCCUCGCGCUAUAGGGUUGGCCGAUGGCUGAUUAGCUAGUUGGUGGGGUAAAGGCCUACCAAGGCGACGAUCAGUAGCUGGUCUGAGAGGACGACCAGCCACACUGGGACUGAGACACGGCCCAGACUCCUACGGGAGGCAGCAGUGGGGAAUUUUGGACAAUGGGCGAAAGCCUGAUCCAGCAGUGCCGCGUGUGUGAAGAAGGCCUUCGGGUUGUAAAGCACUUUUGUCCGGAAAGAAAUCCUUGGCCCUAAUACGGUCGGGGGAUGACGGUACCGGAAGAAUAAGCACCGGCUAACUACGUG
RNAcentral lists this ribosomal RNA (486 nucleotides) under uncultured bacterium. Its description in RNAcentral is "partial 16S ribosomal RNA". It matches the Rfam family "Bacterial small subunit ribosomal RNA", at positions 30 to 507 of the family's 1533-position model. The record is from RNAcentral.